RNAcentral lists this non-coding RNA (30 nucleotides) under Homo sapiens (human). The record is from RNAcentral. Lineage: Eukaryota; Metazoa; Chordata; Mammalia; Primates; Hominidae.
GACAACCACCGAAGGUGUUUCUUUAGCGUC